This 305-nucleotide ribosomal RNA is filed under the name uncultured bacterium. Its description in RNAcentral is "partial 16S ribosomal RNA". It matches the Rfam family "Bacterial small subunit ribosomal RNA", at positions 335 to 656 of the family's 1533-position model. The record is from RNAcentral.
AUGCCUACGGGAGGCAGCAGUGGGGGAUAUUGCACAAUGGGGGGAACCCUGAUGCAGCGACGCCGCGUGGGCGAGGGAGCGCCUCGGCGCGUAAAGCCCUUUCGGCGGGGGAGAACGAUGACGGUACCCGACGAAGAAGCACCGGCUAAAUACGUGCCAGCAGCCGCGGUAAUACGUAUGGUGCGAGCGUUGUCCGGAUUUACUGGGCGUGAAGGGGGCGCAGGCGGCGCGCCAAGCCCGAUGUGAAAGCCCGGGGCUCAACCCCGGGACGGCUCUUGGAACUGCGUGGCUGGGGUGCAGGGGGG